This 588-nucleotide ribosomal RNA is filed under the name uncultured bacterium. RNAcentral describes it as "bacterial SSU rRNA". It matches the Rfam family "Bacterial small subunit ribosomal RNA", at positions 28 to 634 of the family's 1533-position model. The record is from RNAcentral.
GAUGAACGCUGGCGGCGUGCUUAACACAUGCAAGUCGAACGAGAAAGCUUACUUCGGUGAGUGAGUAGAGUGGCGGACGGGUGAGUAACACGUAGGUGACCUGCCUUGUAGAGGGGGAUAACCGUGGGAAACCAUGGCUAAAACCCCAGAUGUUGGGAAGUUUAGACGCUUCUGACUAAAACUCCGGUGCUACAAGAGGGGCCUGCGGGCUAUCAGCUAGUUGGUGGGGUAAAGGCCUACCAAGGCACAGACGGCUAGGGGGCGUGAGAGCGCGACCCCCCACAAUGGGACUGAGACACGGCCCAUACUCCUACGGGAGGCAGCAGUGAGGAAUAUUGCACAAUGGGGGCAACCCUGAUGCAGCAACGCCGCGUGGAUGAUGAAGGCCUUCGGGUUGUAAAAUCCUUUUCUAAGGGAAGAUAGUGACGGUACCUUAGGAAGAAGUCCCGGCUAACUACGUGCCAGCAGCCGCGGUAAAACGUAGGGGGCGAGCGUUAUCCGGAUUUACUGGGCGUAAAGCGCGCGUAGGCGGUGCGGAAAGUUGGGCGUGAAAGCUUCUGGCUUAACCAGGAGAGGUCGUUCAAAACU